ACUUGUUUAGCUUAAUUGGAUAAAGCAACGAUCUUCUAAAUUGUAGAUAAUGGUUCAAUUCCAUUAACGAGUA
Molecule: transfer RNA, 73 nt
Organism: Smittium culicis
Lineage: Eukaryota; Fungi; Kickxellomycota; Harpellomycetes; Harpellales; Legeriomycetaceae
Rfam family: tRNA
About the family: Transfer RNA (tRNA) molecules are approximately 80 nucleotides in length. Their secondary structure includes four short double-helical elements and three loops (D, anti-codon, and T loops).
Source: Rfam